CUUGGUGAUUGAACGAUCCUGUGAGCGGAUGUAGAGUGUGUCUGCGUCUGCAUCAUUUCCCCUAGUAACGACGAGCAAACCGGGAAGAGUCGAGCAUAAAAAUUGGGUGGUAGCAUCGCCUGAAUUGUAGUUUGUAUAAGAGUCCUUAGUAGCGGACCGGGCCCAAGUCCCUUGGAAGGGGGUGCCUGAGAGGGUGACAGCCCUGUCGGGCUGGGACCUUGUUGCACCACGAGGCGUUGUCAGCGAGUUGGGUUUUUUGUGAAUGCAACCCUAAUCGGGUGGUAAAUUUCGUCCAAGGCUAAAUAUAGGGGAGAGACCGAUAGAAAAAAAGUACCAGGAGGGAAAGAUGAAAAGGAAUUUUAAAUUAGAGUUAAAGAGUGCUUGAAAUUUCCAGAAGGGAAGUAGAUGGAGGUCGAUGAUGCGUCUCGAUCGGAUGGGGAACGACUCAAGAUGGUCCUCCGCUCGACUGGAGGUGCGAACCAGCACAGGCCGUUGCAUCGGCACAAGCACGGGUGGAGUAUUGGCUAUUGUUUUUUUGUUGUGGCGGUCGAGGAGCGGAGAAAUCAAGGGAUUCCAACAACACUCAUUUAAAUUUAUUUUUAAUUGCUUGCCAAUACUUCUUUUAGUUUGUUGAUAUUGA
Molecule: non-coding RNA, 640 nt
Organism: Picea glauca (white spruce)
Lineage: Eukaryota; Viridiplantae; Streptophyta; Pinopsida; Pinales; Pinaceae
Source: Rfam